RNAcentral lists this ribosomal RNA (502 nucleotides) under uncultured Glomeromycotina. Its description in RNAcentral is "partial small subunit ribosomal RNA". It matches the Rfam family "Eukaryotic small subunit ribosomal RNA", at positions 591 to 1092 of the family's 1831-position model. Lineage: Eukaryota; Fungi; Glomeromycota. The record is from RNAcentral.
CCAAUAGCGUAUAUUAAAGUUGUUGCAGUUAAAAAGCUCGUAGUUGAACUUCGGGAUUUAUUCAUUGGUCAGGCUUAAUUGUCUGUACUGGUGAGAUAAAUCUCUACCUUCUGAGGAACUUUCAUGCCAUUUAUUUGGUGUGAUUGGAAAUCAGGACUAUUACUUUGAAAAAAUUAGAGUGUUUAAAGCAGGCUAACGUCUGAAUACAUUAGCAUGGAAUAAUGAAAUAGGACGGACUGGUUCUAUUUUGUUGGUUUCUAGGAUCACCGUAAUGAUUAAUAGGGAUAGUUGGGGGCAUUAGUAUUCAAUUGUCAGAGGUGAAAUUCUUGGAUUUAUUGAAGACUAACUACUGCGAAAGCAUUUGCCAAGGAUGUUUUCAUUAAUCAAGAACGAAAGUUAGGGGAUCGAAGACGAUCAGAUACCGUCGUAGUCUUAACCAUAAACUAUGCCGACUAGGGAUCGGACGAAGUUAAUUUUAUAAUGACGCGUUUGGCACCUUACG